Molecule: ribosomal RNA, 504 nt
Filed under: uncultured Glomeromycotina
Lineage: Eukaryota; Fungi; Glomeromycota
Description: SSU rRNA
Rfam family: Eukaryotic small subunit ribosomal RNA
Source: RNAcentral
AGCAGCCGCGGUAAUUCCAGCUCCAAUAGCGUAUAUUAAAGUUGUUGCAGUUAAAAAGCUCGUAGUUGAAUUUCAGGCCUGGCUGGACGGUCCGCCCUUCGGGUGAGUACUGUCUGUGGUCGGGUCCUACCUUCUGGCGAAGCGUCAUGGCCUUAACCGGCCGUGGCGGGGAACCAGGACUUUUACUGUGAAAAAAUUAGAGUGUUCAGAGCAGGCAAUCGCUUGGAUACAUUAGCAUGGAAUAAUGGAAUAGGACAAUGGUUCUAUUUGUUGGUUUCUAGGACCGUUGUAAUGAUUAAUAGGGAUAGUUGGGGGCAUUAGUAUUCAAUUGUCAGAGGUGAAAUUCUUGGAUUUAUUGAAGACUAACUACUGCGAAAGCAUUUGCCAAGGAUGUUUUCAUUAAUCAAGAACGAAAGUUAGGGGAUCGAAGACGAUCAGAUACCGUCGUAGUCUUAACCAUAAACUAUGCCGACUAGGAAUCGGGCGAUGUUGACAAAAUGACGC